Molecule: unclassified non-coding RNA, 377 nt
Filed under: uncultured Oligoflexaceae bacterium
Lineage: Bacteria; Pseudomonadati; Bdellovibrionota; Oligoflexia; Oligoflexales; Oligoflexaceae
Description: contains 16S-23S intergenic spacer region
Source: RNAcentral
UCCGGUUUAACACCGGCAGUCCCCUCAGAGUGCCCAACUUAAUGGUGGCAACUAAGGGCAAGGGUUGCGCUCGUUGCGGGACUUAACCCAACAUCUUACGACACGAGCUGACGACAGCCAUGCAGCACCUAUCUCCCUGCUCCCGAAGGAGAAGCCGCAUCUCUGCGGUUGUCAGGGGAUGUUAAGCCCAGGUAAGGUUCUGCGCGUUGCUUCGAAUUAAACCACAUACUCCACCGCUUGUGCGGGCCCCCGUCAGUUCUUUUGAGUUUCAGCCUUGCGACUGUACUCCCCAGGCAGCGCACUUAAUGCGUUAGCUGCGGCACCGGAGGGGUCGAUACCCCCGACACCUAGUGCGCACCGUUUACGGCGUGGACUAC